Pieris brassicae (large cabbage white) is the source of this 667-nucleotide long non-coding RNA. RefSeq lists it as uncharacterized. The record is from RefSeq and is a predicted model, not a curated record. The transcript has 2 exons. Lineage: Eukaryota; Metazoa; Arthropoda; Insecta; Lepidoptera; Pieridae.
UCUUUUCUGCCCCGAGGCGCCCUACAACUUGCUAUCUGUUUCGAAGUUGCAACAGGCUGGAGCUACUGUCAUAUUUGAUCACAGAGGUACCCGCAUAUGUAAGCAAGGUCAACAACUUGCAGAUGCGUUAACAAAACCAUUACCAGCGGUUACGUUUCAUGAAAUGAGGAGAAACAUGGGUUUACAAUAAUAAUAUUUAAUGAGUUGGCUACUAUUUGUUGUUAAUUUAAUUAUUCUGUUAUACUCAUUGUGUUCUGAUAAUUAUAUCUAAUGUAUAUAAUGUAUCGAAUUUAAGAUGAUGAAAUGAUCUGAUAAGGUUUUUCUGGGUUUUCCCUUAUCCGAGCAACAAAUGUUGGAUCAUUAUUUUUGUAUUUUCCCAGACUCGCUUGGAAGUUAUAUAGUUCUGUUUAGGCAUUUGAUUUGUACAAGAAUUAAUUUUUGAGGGGGCGUGUUGAUUUAUUUGAGUAAGAUUGCAAAAAUUAAUCAUUGUAUUGACUAUUUCCUGUCAUUUGAAUGAGCGAUCGAGCCGCCAUCUUGUCGAGGCGCCAAAUUGUCUUUACCUCACUCUGCUCCAGGUCAUUUCUGAUUCAUUCCAAUUUGUAUCGUGGUAGGAAGCAGACAUAUCACUUCCAAGUUAAACAGUGAAUAUAUUUCUUUAUUACGGAUA